UGAACAGGGUCUCUAGUGGUUCAGGAUGUGUGUGUGUUGAACAGGGUCUCUAGUGGUUCAGGAUGUGUGUGUGUUGAACAGGGUCUAAUGGUUCAGGAUGUGUGUGUGUUGAACAGGGUCUCUAAGUGGUUCAGGAUGUGUGUGUGUUGAACAGGGUCUAGUGGUUCAGGAUGUGUGUGUGUUGAACAGGGUCUAGUGGUUCAGGAUGUGUGUGUGUUGAACAGGGUCUCUUAGUGGUUCAGGAUGUGUGUGUGUUGAACAGGGUCUCUUAGUGGUUCAGGAUGUGUGUGUGUUGAACAGGGUCUCUAAUGGUUCAGGAUGUGUGUGUGUUGAACAGGGUCUCUAAGUGGUUCAGGAUGUGUGUGUGUUGAACAGGGUCUCUAGUGGUUCAGGAUGUGUGUGUGUUGAACAGGGUCUCUAGUGGUUCAGGAUGUGUGUGUGUUGAACAGGGUCUCUAGUGGUUCAGGAUGUGUGUGUGUUGAACAGGGUCUCUAAGUGGUUCAGGAUGUGUGUGUGUUGAACAGGGUCUCUAAGUGGUUCAGGAUGUGUGUGUGUUGAACAGGGUCUCUAGUGGUUCAGGAUGUGUGUGUGUUGAACAGGGUCUCUAAGUGGUUCAGGAUGUGUGUGUGUUGAACAGGGUCUCUAAGUGGUUCAGGAUGUGUGUGUGUUGAACAGGGUUAGUUUAAGGCUACUUCCUAGUUUUAGUACAAUUAAUGCUGCAGCAAUUUCUACCGUUAGUCCUCUCCUGACACCUAGAGGAUGAGAGGGGAAUUGCAGCAGAGAAUACCUGAAUGGGGCUGUGGACACGUAUGUAGGAUCCCUCUCUCCUCACCCUUUACCUCCAUCUGCAACAACCUUUCACCCAUAAUGUGGUCCACAAACACACACUCCACCAUUGAUAGCACAGCUAAAAACACACACAACUGUCGCCUGUGUGUGUGUGUGUGUGUGUGUGUGUGUGUGUGUGUGUGUGUGUGUGUGUGUGUGUGUGUGUGUGUGUGUGUGUGUGUGUGUGUGUGUGUGUGUGUGUGUGUGUGUGUGUGUGUGUGUGUUUGGCUGGGCUAUACAGGAAUCCUUGUUUUAGAGCCGUUUUAUCAGGACAAUAUGUUGAGGGAAGAACAACACUAGUUCACUAACCGCCGUCCGUCUCUUUACUUUGUCUCUGUUAAUCAGAUGCAGGUGUAGUCUUUACCAAGCCAUUUCUGGAGAGACACACACACUGCAGGAGACACUAAUACUUCUAUCAACACGUAUUUCAACUGUC
This is a long non-coding RNA of Oncorhynchus keta (chum salmon), 1264 nucleotides long. RefSeq lists it as uncharacterized. Lineage: Eukaryota; Metazoa; Chordata; Actinopteri; Salmoniformes; Salmonidae. The transcript is spliced from 3 exons. The record is from RefSeq and is a predicted model, not a curated record.